This 134-nucleotide ribosomal RNA is filed under the name uncultured bacterium. RNAcentral's name for it is "partial 16S ribosomal RNA". It matches the Rfam family "Bacterial small subunit ribosomal RNA", at positions 355 to 509 of the family's 1533-position model. The record is from RNAcentral.
UGGGGAAUAUUGCACAAUGGGCGAAAGCCUGAUGCAGCAACGCCGCGUGAGCGAUGAAGGCCUGGUCGUAAAGCUCUGUCCUCAAGGAAGAUAAUGACGGUACUUGAGGAGGAAGCCCCGGCUAACUACGUGCC